CUCUAUAAGUCGUUGUCAAAGGAAUGGAUACAUGGAUGGAUGCAUGUAUGCAUGAUUGAAUAGAUACAUGGAUGGAUAGGUGCAUGGAUGGAUAGGUGCAUGGAUGGUUGGAUAGAUGCAUGGAUGGAUAGGUGCAUGGAUGGAUGGAUAGAUGCAUGGAUGGAUAGAUAGCUAUAGAUUUAACUGUGUCACUCGUACUUUAGCACUCCUCAGUAUUGCCAAUAACUAUCAAAAUUCAGUGUGCACAAUUCGUUUUAAAGUAAAUUACACAAUAGUAAUACUGACACAUGUACAAAGAUACAUGUGCAAGAUGGCCCCUGCACUGUUGUGUAUUAUACAAAAAUAUUGGAGCAGCCUGAUGUCUGGCAGUAGGAAGAGGGAGGCCUUGAGGGCAAGGACUGUGUUUUGUUCGCUGCUCAAUCCUUAGCACCUGGACUGUGCCUGGUACAUAAUAGAGGUCAAUAAAUGUUUGUCGCAUGAAGGAAAGCGUCAUCACUGAGAUGCCAUGCAGCUGUUGAGAAGGAUGCUGGAGAUGUGUGUGUGCUAAGGUGAGAGAUGUCCACCCUAUCGUGGCAAAGCAAGUCAUAGAACAGUGUGUAAGGGAAGAGCUGACUUUUGUGAAAAAAAAAAUAGAUGUUUUUAUAUAUACAUAGGAUCUUGAGGGGCCGGCCCCGUGGCGCAGCGGUUGGGUUCCCACAUUCUGCUUCUCGGCUGCAUGGGGUUUGCCGGUUUGGCUCCCAGGUGUGGACAUGGCACCACUUGGCACACCAUACUGUGGUAGGCGUCCCACGUAUAAAGUAGAGGAAGAUGGGCACGGAUGUGAGCUCAGGGCCAGUCUUCCUCAGCAAAAAGAGGAGGAUUGGCAGCAGAUGUUAGCUCAAGGCUAAUCUUCCUCAAAAAAAAAAACAAAAGAAGAAGAAGAAGAAUCUUGAGGGAUACACCCUAAACUGUUACCAGGGGGUUCCAUCUGAGGAGAAGGUUUGGAGG
This 987-nucleotide long non-coding RNA is filed under the name Equus caballus (horse). RNAcentral describes it as "lncRNA (ENSECAG00000055153.1)". The record is from RNAcentral. Lineage: Eukaryota; Metazoa; Chordata; Mammalia; Perissodactyla; Equidae.